This 267-nucleotide ribosomal RNA is filed under the name uncultured prokaryote. RNAcentral's name for it is "partial 16S ribosomal RNA". It matches the Rfam family "Bacterial small subunit ribosomal RNA", at positions 524 to 792 of the family's 1533-position model. The record is from RNAcentral.
UACGUAGGGGGCUAGCGUUAUCCGGAAUUACUGGGCGUAAAGGGUGCGUAGGCGGUCUUUCAAGCCAGAAGUGAAAGGCUACGCUCAACCGUAGUAAGCUUUUGGAACUGUAAGACUUGAGUGCAGGAGAGGAGAGUGGAAUUCCUAGUGUAGCGGUGAAAUGCGUAGAUAUUACACAGAACACCGAUUGCGAAGGCAGCUUGCUGGGUCAUUACUGACGCUGAUGCACGAAAGCGUGGGGAUCAAACAGGAUUAGAUACCCGCGUA